CUGCAGCCCGAGUGGUGGUCGAUUUUAUUGAGCCUAAAGCGUCCGUAGCCGGACUAGUAAACCCUUGGGUAAAUUGGGCAGCUUAACUGUCCAAAUUCCGAGGGGACUGCUAGUCUUGGGACCGGGAGAGGUCAGAGGUACUCAAGGGGUAGGGGCUAAAUCCUGUAAUCCUUUGGGGACCACCAGUGGCGAAGGCGUCUGACUAGAACGGAUCCGACGGUAAGGGACGAAACCCUGGGGCGCGAACCGGAUUAGAUACCCGUGUAGUCC
This 270-nucleotide ribosomal RNA is filed under the name uncultured archaeon. Its description in RNAcentral is "partial 16S ribosomal RNA". It matches the Rfam family "Archaeal small subunit ribosomal RNA", at positions 477 to 747 of the family's 1478-position model. The record is from RNAcentral.